GACGAACGCUGGCGGCGUGCCUAAUACAUGCAAGUUGAGCGCUGAAGGUUGGUACUUGUACCAACUGGAUGAGCAGCGAACGGGUGAGUAACGCGUGGGGAAUCUGCCUUUGAGCGGGGGACAACAUUUGGAAACGAAUGCUAAUACCGCAUAAAAACUUUAAACACAAGUUUUAAGUUUGAAAGAUGCAAUUGCAUCACUCAAAGAUGAUCCCGCGUUGUAUUAGCUAGUUGGUGAGGUAAAGGCUCACCAAGGCGAUGAUACAUAGCCGACCUGAGAGGGUGAUCGGCCACAUUGGGACUGAGACACGGCCCAAACUCCUACGGGAGGCAGCAGUAGGGAAUCUUCGGCAAUGGACGAAAGUCUGACCGAGCAACGCCGCGUGAGUGAAGAAGGGUUUCGGAUCGUAAAACUCUGUUGGUAGGGAAGAACGUUGGUGAGAGUGGAAAGCUCAUCAAGUGACGGUAACUACCCAGAAAGGGACGGCUAACUACGUG
This 497-nucleotide ribosomal RNA is filed under the name uncultured bacterium. RNAcentral's name for it is "partial 16S ribosomal RNA". It matches the Rfam family "Bacterial small subunit ribosomal RNA", at positions 28 to 507 of the family's 1533-position model. The record is from RNAcentral.